This 366-nucleotide ribosomal RNA is filed under the name Salmonella enterica. RNAcentral describes it as "partial 23S ribosomal RNA". It matches the Rfam family "Bacterial large subunit ribosomal RNA", at positions 1181 to 1548 of the family's 2925-position model. Lineage: Bacteria; Pseudomonadati; Pseudomonadota; Gammaproteobacteria; Enterobacterales; Enterobacteriaceae. RNAcentral also lists the same sequence under 1 other name. The record is from RNAcentral.
GUCAAAGCGUUCAUUAAAGUCGAGUUGGCUUAGGGAUACGUUCGUUGGGUAGGGGAGCGUUCUGUAAGCCUGUGAAGGUGUGUCGUGAGGCAUGCUGGAGGUAUCAGAAGUGCGAAUGCUGACAUAAGUAACGAUAAAGCGGGUGAAAAGCCCGCUCGCCGGAAGACCAAGGGUUCCUGUCCAACGUUAAUCGGGGCAGGGUGAGUCGACCCCUAAGGCGAGGCCGAAAGGCGUAGUCGAUGGGAAACGGGUUAAUAUUCCCGUACUUGGUGUUACUGCGAAGGGGGGACGGAGAAGGCUAUGUUGGCCGGGCGACGGUUGUCCCGGUUUAAGCGUGUAGGUGUGUGUUCCAGGUAAAUCCGGUUC